This is a non-coding RNA of Podarcis lilfordi (Lilford's wall lizard), 67 nucleotides long. The record is from the annotation of a GenBank genome assembly. NCBI's taxonomy places the organism in Eukaryota, Metazoa, Chordata, Lepidosauria, Squamata, Lacertidae.
GAUUAGCUCAGUUGGUAGAGGAUGAAACUUAAUCUCAGGGUUGUGGGUUCAAGCCCCAUGUUGGGCA